RNAcentral lists this ribosomal RNA (398 nucleotides) under uncultured bacterium. Its description in RNAcentral is "bacterial SSU rRNA". It matches the Rfam family "Bacterial small subunit ribosomal RNA", at positions 358 to 773 of the family's 1533-position model. The record is from RNAcentral.
GGAAUCUUAGACAAUGGGGGAAACCCUGAUCUAGCCAUGCCGCGUGAGUGACGAAGGCCCUAGGGUCGUAAAGCUCUUUCGCCAGGGAAGAUAAUGACGGUACCUGGUAAAGAAGUCCCGGCUAACUCCGUGCACGCAGCCGCGGUAAUACGGAGGGGACUAGCGUUGUUCGGAAUUACUGGGCGUAAAGCGCGCGUAGGCGGGCUGUUAAGUCAGGGGUGAAAUCCUGGGGCUCAACCCCAGAACUGCCCUUGAUACUGGCAGUCUUGAGUUCGAGAGAGGUGAGUGGAAUUCCGAGUGUAGAGGUGAAAUUCGUAGAUAUUCGGAGGAACACCAGUGGCGAAGGCGGCUCACUGGCUCGAUACUGACGCUGAGGUGCGAAAGCGUGGGGAGCAAAC